This is a non-coding RNA of Peromyscus maniculatus bairdii (prairie deer mouse), 1837 nucleotides long. NCBI's taxonomy places the organism in Eukaryota, Metazoa, Chordata, Mammalia, Rodentia, Cricetidae. The record is from RefSeq and is a predicted model, not a curated record.
CAGGCUGCUGAGGUUCGAAUCCCACCUUGGUCUCUUGCAAGUGUACUGACUGCAGCACAUUACCUAGCUGCCCUAUUCCCGAGUUUGCUUCCUCUUUAAGUGGGGUGUCAGUAAUAGCACCCACUCACAGGAUCAUGGUCUUAAAAUUUUGGUAGCAGAAAGCAAAGGUGCAGAGAGCAAUGGAAACAAGUCAGAAGCUGCUGUCUGAUUCCAGAGAUGUCCACAAUUUAUGACAUGUGAUUUAUGUUGAAAUCUUCAAUUUAUCCUGAAACCUCAAAUUGCUAAUUUAGUACAAUAACACCUGGGGAAAUAGGUCAUGAGGACUGCAGACAGACCUGCAGAAGGCCACAGAUCCUCUUUACAAUGUAACCUAUUGCUGUCACACUCUAGACCUAUGAAGUGCUGAGCAUAGCCUGGUGCUCUGGGCCUUUUACUCCCCCUCAAACCCUGAACUACAGUCCCAUUUGCAUUGUGCUAAUCUGAGGGCUGGGAGGUAGUCAGGCAACUUCCACUCCCCUGUGUGACUUGUAAGCCAAGUGGUCCUGCUGCCCGCCUGCCCCUCCUCCUGCCCACUGCAGCUCCUGAGAGAGGGAGGUAGAGACUUCUGAAGCUUCCCUUCUGCAACUUUGUCCUUUGGGGAAGUUUCAGGGCCUUGAUGGAAGUCACUAGCAGCUUGUUAAGAUCUUAUAUUGAUUAGGAAGUGUCCUUGACUUACAGCCCUCAGCAUCCCUUUGAAGUACUCUUACUUUUCUAACCUGGGAAACUGGCCUGUGGUGACCAGUUAGAAGUGCUGGAGUUGAGGCAGCCUUCUCAGUGCUUUGUGCCACAGACAGACUCCAGCAAGGCAGCCUCUCCAAGUAUUGUCUGUUCUAUCAAUAUGUACUUAGACACAUUAAUCCGAAUUAGAGAACUGAUUGUACCUAAUGGCUCCCCUGGGAUGCCAUGUCAGAAAAAAACAAAAACUGAAGGAGUAUGUUGAAUAUGCGGAGUAAGUAAAAAAAAAAAGAUUGUAAAAUUAGUGUUAAUUGAGCUUGGACCUUGAUCAUCUUUGUGCUUUCAAUUUUUAAUUUGACUCUUUAAAACAGUUAGUUCUUCCUCUCAAAGAUAGAGCCUAAUAAAAGUUAUACUGUAACAUUGCCAAAAAGACAUUUAAACAGGACCCAAUUUUGAAUUAUCUUAGAGAAAUAGGUUAUGUGUGGGGUAGACACAUGUACAAAUACACAUUCAUAAGUGUGUUUAAAAUACAUUGUAGUUGUCCUUUAUCCACAUGUUUUCUCUUUCUGCCUCUGGAAGUGGGGCACAUUUUCUUCAGUUAAAAACAGAAAUAGAAGCGACGGUCUUGACCCAUUUUACACCUGUUUAUUUCAGGCUCUCACCACACACUUGUUCAUGGGCGCAGCAAGAAGAGGGACCCACAGAGCUGGAGCCGUGAGGGCUGACACAUUGGGAGGAAGCUGGCAGAGCACAUAGGGAGAGCUUUCCAUCCUGCCAGCUCUGUAUCUGCUUCAAGACAGUUCUAUUAGUGAAUUAAUUGUACUUUAAACCCCAAGUUUAUAUAGUUGAAUGUUACUAGAAAUGACAUAGAUUCAUCCAGAGUGACUGAAAGAGUACAGCUGCCACUUACCUCUGGGGAGUAGCCUGCAAUAUGUGUUCCCUGGUUCUAGUGUUCUUUUUGCCCCAGCAAACUUCCCAUUCACCCAGCAAUGACCUGUUUGUGUUGAUUAUUGCCUCCCAAAAGAAUGGAAGCUCCAUGAGAGCAGGGCCUCUGUGUUGUCUCCUCUGUCUCCAGCACAUAGGGCAGCCUGGCCUGGCAUAUCAAUAAAUGCUAUUCAGUGAA